AUCCCUAGUUCGGAUUGUAGGCUGCAACUCGCCUACAUGAAGCUGGAAUUGCUAGUAAUCACAGGUCAGCAUACUGUGGUGAAUACGUUCCCGGGCCUUGUACACACCGCCCGUCACACCAUGAGAGUUGAGAAUACCCGAAGUCCGUAGUCUAACCGCAAGGGGGACGCGGCCGAAGGUGGGUUCGAUAAUUGGGGUGAAGUCGUAACAAGGUAUC
RNAcentral lists this ribosomal RNA (217 nucleotides) under uncultured bacterium. RNAcentral's name for it is "partial 16S ribosomal RNA". It matches the Rfam family "Bacterial small subunit ribosomal RNA", at positions 1284 to 1500 of the family's 1533-position model. The record is from RNAcentral.